This 506-nucleotide long non-coding RNA is filed under the name Cicer arietinum (chickpea). RNAcentral describes it as "long non-coding RNA (CARI_LNC002114)". Lineage: Eukaryota; Viridiplantae; Streptophyta; Magnoliopsida; Fabales; Fabaceae. The record is from RNAcentral.
UUUGAAUAUAAUUUUUUUUAUUAAACACUGUUUUUCUGAAGUUAUUUUUAUUGAAUAAAAAAUUAAUUUUUUUAAAUAUUAAGCAAUUGUCGUGAUUUUAUUUUUGAGUCGACUGAAUGAUAAAAAGAAAUACAAUAUCAUUCACCCACAAAAAAUAGAACAUUUUCUAAACUGUAUGGGUCUUGAAUAUAUUUAAAAGAUUUCACAUGUAUCAUUUUUUUUUCUAAUCCAUAAGUGUUUAAAGAAAGUAUAUAUUAAGCUAUAUUUUCAAAAAAUAAAAUCGAGAUUCUUCUUUUGUUAUUAUGAAAUAAAAUGUUUAAAAUUUCCUUUUUUUUUUCUUUCUUUCCUCAUGCUUUAGAGGAUUAUUUUCAGGAACUAUUCUCUCUCUAAAAAAGGGAAAUUAAAAUUCAAUUGCUUUUUGAUUGACUUUGGUAUUAUGCCAAAAGUGGAACCCACCAAAAAGUAGCAACAACUUAAGAAAGAAUAAAAUAUUUGGGAAGGGUCAA